This 893-nucleotide long non-coding RNA is filed under the name Glycine max (soybean). RNAcentral describes it as "long non-coding RNA (GMAX_LNC003307)". The record is from RNAcentral. Lineage: Eukaryota; Viridiplantae; Streptophyta; Magnoliopsida; Fabales; Fabaceae.
AUAAGUCUUGCCAAUUGUAGUAAUCACUACCUGUGCAAGGGCACUUUCUUUCCCUGCAACAAGUUCAAUAGCUCUUUUUCCCUCAGGCACAGCAAAGUGAUCAGAAUCAAUGUAUUUCACCGCCUUAAGAGACUCAACAAUCCAUCCUGGCAAAGGACCGUGAGAAUCCUCUAUAUGCGGUGGGAUCAAAGCCCCCCAAGACGAGUUGGGAAAUAUAUAUGGACCUUCUUCGAAAUUGCCAUUUUUCAACAAAUUGGCUGCACCACAUUAAAAACCCAGUUUUAAAAUUUUGUUGUGUAAUGCAAAUGUACACACAAUUGGUUAAAGAGAGAAAAAGUUAUGCUUUCUGUGAAAAAAAAUUUACUUAAUCAUUUAAUCAAACAUAUUAUUUAUCAUAAAUUCAUUAAGUAAUUAUCUUAAUAUAAUUCAAAUAAUAAUUUAUAAUUCGAUAAUAAUAUAAAACUGUUUUAUACUCUUACUCUAGACAUUAAACCCAUGCCGAUUAGGACUAUGCAUGCUAAAAAGUUAGGAGUAUUGACCUCUUGUUCUUUUGGGUGGGUACAAAACCUUGAGGGCAACGGAAUCAAUGAGGGGACCACAAGCUGGAUCCUCUUCUUUGCCAGGGUUAUGGAUGACAAUUUGAGCUUCUGGGAAAUCUGCUCGGAAGCCACAAGUGAAAGACUCCCAGCCAUUGCUACCAUACAUAGUCUGAAUGGGGAUGAUGCCCCAGUCCCUCUUCUCAGUGGUUGGAACCACUGACACGUUGAGCUUCUCCUCUUGUGCACAGGUUCGAGCGGCACUGAAGGUGAUGGAGUAGAAGGACCCCUUAAUCAGCUUCAGCUUCUGCUUAAUGGAAGCUUCAUUGCCAAGUCUAACUGCAUAGUCACCCUCAG